This 492-nucleotide ribosomal RNA is filed under the name uncultured bacterium. RNAcentral's name for it is "partial 16S ribosomal RNA". It matches the Rfam family "Bacterial small subunit ribosomal RNA", at positions 29 to 507 of the family's 1533-position model. The record is from RNAcentral.
AGUGAACGCUGGCGGUAGGCCUAACACAUGCAAGCCGAACGGCAGCACAGUAAGAGCUUGCUCUUACGGGUGGCGAGUGGCGGACGGGUGAGGCAUACAUCGGAAUCUACUUUUUCGUGGGUGAUAACGUAGGGAAACUUACGCUAACACCGCAUACGACCAACGGGUGAAAGCAGUGGAUCUUCGGACCUUGCCCGAUUGAAUGAGCUGAUGCCGAAUUAGCUAGUUGGGGGGGUAAAGGCCCACCAAGCCAACGAUCCGAAGCCGACCGGAGAGGAGGACAGGCCACACUGGACAGGAGACACGGUCCAGACUCCUACGGGAGGCAGCAGUAGGGAAUCUUGGACAAUGGGCGAAAGCCUGACGGAGCAAUGCCGCGGGAGGGAUGAAGGCCUUGGGAUUGUAAACCCCUUUUAUUGGGAAAGAAAAAAAGUGUAUGUAACCCUGCAGGUCUUGACGGUACCUAAUAAGAAAGCCCCGGCUAACUACGUG